This 450-nucleotide ribosomal RNA is filed under the name uncultured bacterium. Its description in RNAcentral is "bacterial SSU rRNA". It matches the Rfam family "Bacterial small subunit ribosomal RNA", at positions 28 to 475 of the family's 1533-position model. The record is from RNAcentral.
GACGAACGCUGGCGGCGUGCCUAACACAUGCAAGUCGAACGGAACUGUUUUGAAAGAUUUCUUCGGAAUGAAUUUGAUUUAGUUUAGUGGCGGACGGGUGAGUAACGCGUGAGUAACCUGCCUUCAAGAGGGGGAUAACAUUUUGAAAAGAAUGCUAAUACCGCAUGACAUAUCGGAAUCACAUGAUUUUGAUAUCAAAGAUUUUAUCGCUUGAAGAUGGACUCGCGUCCGAUUAGUUAGUUGGUGAGGUAACGGCUCACCAAGACCGCGAUCGGUAGCCGGACUGAGAGGUUGAACGGCCACAUUGGGACUGAGUCACGGCCCAGACUCCUACGGGAGGCAGCAGUGGGGGAUAUUGCGCAAUGGGGGCAACCCUGACGCAGCAACGCCGCGUGAAGGAUGAAGGUUUUCGGAUUGUAAACUUCUUUUAUUAAGGACGAAAAAUGACGG